This 518-nucleotide ribosomal RNA is filed under the name uncultured Chloroflexota bacterium. RNAcentral's name for it is "bacterial SSU rRNA". It matches the Rfam family "Bacterial small subunit ribosomal RNA", at positions 355 to 890 of the family's 1533-position model. The record is from RNAcentral. Lineage: Bacteria; Bacillati; Chloroflexota.
UGAGGAAUAUUGCCCAAUGGACGCAAGUCUGAGGCAGCAACGCCGCGUGGGCGAUGAAGGCCUUCGGGUUGUAAAGCCCUUUUCUGGGGGACGAGGAAGGACGGUACCUCAGGAAUAAGUCACGGCUAACUACGUGCCAGCAGCCGCGGUAAUACGUAGGUGGCGAGCGUUAUCCGGAUUCACUGGGCGUAAAGCGCGUGCAGGCGGUUUCGUAAGUCGGACGUGAAAGCUCCUGGCUUAACUGGGAGAGGUCGUUCGAUACUGCGGGGCUUGAGGUCGGGAGAGGGACGUGGAAUUCCCGGUGUAGUGGUGGAAUGCGUAGAUAUCGGGAGGAACACCAGUGGCGAAGGCGACGUCCUGGCCCGCACCUGACGCUGAGACGCGAAAGCAUGGGUAGCAAACGGGAUUAGAUACCCCGGUAGUCCACGCUGUAAACGGUGGGUACUAGGUGUUGGUGGCUAUCGUCAUCAGUGCCGCAGCUAACGCGUUAAGUACCCAGCCUGGGGACUACGGCCGAC